AAUACAGUGCUCGAGAGGCUUAAGAGGUUAUACUUGAAAUAUAAUGAUUAAUAAUCGCGGGGGUUCAAAUCCCUCCUGUAUUA
This 83-nucleotide transfer RNA is filed under the name Hanseniaspora uvarum. It matches the Rfam family "tRNA". Rfam says of the family: Transfer RNA (tRNA) molecules are approximately 80 nucleotides in length. Lineage: Eukaryota; Fungi; Ascomycota; Saccharomycetes; Saccharomycodales; Saccharomycodaceae. The record is from Rfam by way of RNAcentral.